RNAcentral lists this transfer RNA (85 nucleotides) under Phyllobacteriaceae bacterium. RNAcentral's name for it is "tRNA-Leu". It matches the Rfam family "tRNA". Rfam says of the family: Transfer RNA (tRNA) molecules are approximately 80 nucleotides in length. Their secondary structure includes four short double-helical elements and three loops (D, anti-codon, and T loops). The record is from RNAcentral. Lineage: Bacteria; Pseudomonadati; Pseudomonadota; Alphaproteobacteria; Hyphomicrobiales; Phyllobacteriaceae.
GCGGGUGUGGUGGAACUGGUAGACACGACGGAUUUAGGUUCCGUUGGCGCAAGCCUUGGGGGUUCGAGUCCCUUCACCCGCACCA